RNAcentral lists this ribosomal RNA (200 nucleotides) under uncultured bacterium. RNAcentral's name for it is "partial 16S ribosomal RNA". It matches the Rfam family "Bacterial small subunit ribosomal RNA", at positions 1301 to 1500 of the family's 1533-position model. The record is from RNAcentral.
UAGUCUGCAACUCGACUACAUGAAGCUGGAAUCGCUAGUAAUCGCGAAUCAGAAUGUCGCGGUGAAUACGUUCCCGGGUCUUGUACACACCGCCCGUCACACCAUGGGAGUCGGAUAUGCCCGAAGUCAGUGACCCAACCUUUUGGAGGGAGCUGCCGAAGGUGGAGCCGAUAACUGGGGUGAAGUCGUAACAAGGUAAC